CCAGAGAAGGGAGCACCUUGUUGAAGGUCACCGAGCCAGGAUGUGACAAUGACACGGAUCAGCAUGCUGCCUUUUGCCCACACCGGGGCCCUGGGCAGGACCAUGCUGCACAUGCAACUCGUGUAGGUAGUGUGGUUUCCAUUGCCUGGCAUGCAGCUUUAAGAGAGGGGGCCCGUGAUGGUGCAGUUUUGCUGACAGGAUCUCGGAGCCUGCAGAGCUGGCCCCCUAGCCUGGCCACAGCUGCAGACCUGCUCCAGGACGGCCUGGAAGGAGUGUGACCACAGCCCGACUCCAGCAGGCGGUCGAAGCCUGCUUCCCUCCACCCUCACUGCUGGGGUCUGGGAGCUCUGAGUCUUCUUCCUCAACUGGUCCCCACCGACAGAGGAUGUCAUGAACCUUUGAAAUGAGAUGAAAACUCCCACUAGGCUGGAAACUAAGGAAAACAUCACUGGACCUGCAUUCCCACGCUGCUGCCAUGACGCUGUCCGCCCCAGGACACUCUGCAUGGAGGAAACGCAAACCUGUCCUUCCUCCCCAGCCUUCCCCACUCGACAGGCUUGGAAGGUCCCAGAGCAAGGCCGCUGAUCGUUUCCCAGACUCCAGGGCACUUUCGCUCCUGCAGAGAAUCACAGAAUAUUAGCACUACAAGGACCUUAAAGGAGCCUUUAAUCCAACACCUCAUUUUAGAUACAGAGGCGAAGCAGGGACUAAAAUGUAGGUCUUCUGACUUCCAGGCGAAGCAAGCGUGGCAUAGUUGACGAUCCAAGGACAAAUUUAGGUUUGAGUGUAGUCUUCCCUCCUCCUAGAUGUGUGACCUUGUGCAAAACUUCAUUUCUCUGAACCUCAGGGUUUUCAUCUGAAAAGUGGGCAGGGUUCCCACAGGGAUUAAUAGAAAGCACUUCACACCGUGCUGGGCGUGUUUUCAGUGCUCGGUACAUAUUUCCUUCUGGGCACUUUCCUAACCUCUCCAAGGCUCAGGAUUCCUAUCUGAGCAGUGGGGGUGACAACUGGAUGGUAGGAGGUGAUGCACGUAUGUAAAAGGGUUCGCCCGGUGCUUAGCACACGGAAGCAAUUACAAUGAGCAUAUUACCAUUAGCCCCUCUCUCCGCCUUCCUUUCUUCCCUCGCAAGUCUCCCACUGCGCCAUGUAGAUAAGUGACAAGUGUCAUGUGUAGGGUGUACCAUGGUGAGUACACCGUACGCUGGGUCAGCAGCCCCAGGGCCCUGCAGGGUGAAGUCCGCUCCACGGCUUGCCCGUCCCUGAGGCGCUCGAUCAGGGUCCCAUGGUCCACACAAGCUCUCUCCACCAUCUGGACAUCUAACUCCCUCCUUGGUUUAUUCCGUCAGGGGGAGGCGUCCUAAAUCCCCUGUGAAGCCACCAGGCAGCCUCCUGCGGCGGUCAGCCACCCGACACCUUCCAUCCCCACAGGAAUCCCGCUCAGAGGAGCCAGUGGUCUCGGGAAGAUCCCGAGGCGGCUUCCUGGUGAUCUGGUCCGGAGGAAACGGCCACCAGGCAUUGGUGAAGGCUGUGGACACUGUGGACACGUGCUGUGCAAAGGGACUUCCUGGGCCCCAAGCCUUCACUUGCCAUGGGCUGGCCAGGUCCUCUCCGAGCCACAGGCGGUUGGCCUGAAGGACCAAGGGGCUCUUCCCAGGGGGAGUCUGGUGCCAGAGCCCGUCUGACUGGUCUCCUGCUCGGGAGGAGUGAGACAGACCAGGGGGCCAUAGUGCCAAAUAAUCAGUCAAUGAACCUCAAGACCACCAAGCCGACCUGCUCCCAGCUCAGUCAGUCACCGCACACGGAGGGGUGGAAGCACCCCAGACUCGGAGAGCAGGCACUUGGGCUCCAACGCUGCCUCUGCUGCUGGCCGCCUUCAGAUGUCUCCUCACCACCCAAAACCUCACUUCGCUCAUCUGUAAAACGAGGAUGGUCCAACCUAUCGUUUAUCAGUGGAGUGAAAACGCAACUGGAAGUCGAAGAUGCUGACUUCAGUGCCUGCCACGCUGUCAUUAGUUUGCGAUGACGCAGUCAGGGCAAAGCAUAAAGGGAAGGACAGCCAGGCCAGCAGUGUCCCUGGGAGACCCUCGCUGCCGUGCCUGACAUCGUCGUCGAACCCUGGCUCCACCUUUUCUAGCCAGUUACUUAACGUUUCUAGAAAGUGCCUCAGUUUCUCUAUCUGUAAAUGGGGAUAAGGAUGAGACCCACCCCAAAUGGGCUUAUGAUGAUUAAAUUAAUUUCUUAAUGCACAAGGCUUAGGUAGUAAGUGCUCAGUAAAUGUUGGCUAUUAAUAACAGAACUAAAUGAUUCAGCAGCAGCCUGAAAUAAACUCCUAAAAGUGUGAGUUUCUGGAAGCCCAUUAUUCUGCCUUUCUGAAAUGACAGGUAGGCAGAAGG
Equus quagga is the source of this 2393-nucleotide long non-coding RNA. RefSeq lists it as uncharacterized. The transcript has 3 exons. The record is from RefSeq and is a predicted model, not a curated record. Lineage: Eukaryota; Metazoa; Chordata; Mammalia; Perissodactyla; Equidae.